CUACGGGAGGCAGCAGUAAGGAAUAUUGGACAAUGGGCGCAAGCCUGAUCCAGCCAUGCCGCGUGCAGGAUGAAGGACCUAUGGUUCGUAAACUGCUUUUAUACGGGACAAAACCCCCGGUCGUGCAUCGGGGUUGAUGGUACUGUAAGAAUAAGGGUCGGCUAACUUCGUGCCAGCAGCCGCGGUAAUACGAAGGACCCAAGCGUUAUCCGGAUUUAUUGGGUUUAAAGGGUGCGUAGGCGGAUUAGUAAGUCAGUGGUGAAAGCUCCGAGCUUAACUUGGAAACUGCCAUUGAUACUGCCAGUCUUGAAUGUCGUAGAGGUAAGCGGAAUGUUGCAUGUAGCGGUGAAAUGCUUAGAUAUGACACAGAACACCGAUUGCGAAGGCAGCUCACUAAACUGUAACUGACGCUGAGGCACGAAAGCGUGGGGAUCAAACAGGAUUAGAAACCCGGGUAGUCC
RNAcentral lists this ribosomal RNA (461 nucleotides) under uncultured bacterium. RNAcentral describes it as "bacterial SSU rRNA". It matches the Rfam family "Bacterial small subunit ribosomal RNA", at positions 339 to 796 of the family's 1533-position model. The record is from RNAcentral.